This 76-nucleotide transfer RNA is filed under the name Podarcis lilfordi (Lilford's wall lizard). RNAcentral's name for it is "tRNA.Thr". Lineage: Eukaryota; Metazoa; Chordata; Lepidosauria; Squamata; Lacertidae. The record is from RNAcentral.
GGAGCCAGUGUGGUGUAGUGGUUAAGAGCAGUAGACUUGUAAUCUGGUUAACUGGGUUCGAUUCCAGGCUCCUCCA